GCCUGGCUUGUCCUGCUCAGCAUGAUGCCUUCAAGGUUCACGCGUGUCGCUGCGUCAGGGCUCACCUCCUCGUGUGCCGAACACCCCAUUGUCUGGGUGACCACAUGUUGCCCCCCUACUCCUCCACCAAUGGGCUUCGUGUUGUCGCCACCUCUUGGCUGCUGUGAACCCGUUUGACUUUUUGAACUAACUUUCAGAUUCACUCUUGUAGUUUCAAGGUCGAACCUACAGAAGGCGAAAGAAACCCGCCGGCUCAGGAAUUGUGCAACCAGUGGCCUGGCGGCUGCAGGUCCCCCGUGCUGGGGGUCUUGACUUUGAUGCUUUCCCAGGUGCCCACUUGUUUCAGGAGCCUCCAACCUGUGAACCUCGCACACACAGCUUGGUGCAUGUCAGGUAGAGCCUAGUAGAGCUGUUCUUUUUUGGGGGGGUGGGGGAUGGAGUUUCACUCUUGCUGCCCAGGCUGGAAAACUCUCCAACAAAGUUGCCUCCAGUCACUGGAUGGGAAGCGGCCUCUCAGCUGAGCCGGACCCUCUCUCCUUCAGCUGGUGCUGCAGUGACUCCAAGUGACCAGUGACACCAGGUGUGGCAGCUGCGCACAGCCUUUAUCGUGCCGCACUCAAGGGCCCCGGGAAGGGAACCCAGGCAGGGCCCAGUGCCAUGGUGGUCUCCACUUCGCCGUGGAGAGAACGGCCAGGUGACCCAACCACAGCGAGGCCUUCAGUGUGUUCCUCACUUCCACCUGUGGCGGUCGCUUCUGGCUGUCACCCUGAGCACAUCCAUGUGGCCUCUUGGAGUGGCCUCUCCACGUGGCCUAGGCUUCCUGGCAACGCAGCCGCCUCAGGGCAGUGUGACUUCCUGAUGGUG
This 864-nucleotide long non-coding RNA is filed under the name Homo sapiens (human). Its description in RNAcentral is "HSALNT0156768". Lineage: Eukaryota; Metazoa; Chordata; Mammalia; Primates; Hominidae. The record is from RNAcentral.